GAUAUUGGACAGUGGGCGCAAGCCUGACGACGCAACGCCGCGUGGAGGAUGAAGAUCUUCGGGUCGUAAACUCCUGUCGAGCGGGACGAACACUUAUCCGGUUAAUACCUGGGUAGGCUGACGGUACCGCUAAAGGAAGCCCCGGCUAACUCCGUGCCAGCAGCCGCGGUAAUACGUAGGUGGCAAGCGUUGUCCGGAUUUACUGGGCGUAAAGAGCGCGCAGGCGGUCUUGUAAGUCGAAUGUGAAAGCCCCCGGCUCAACUGGGGAGGGUCAUUCGAUACUGCUCGACUUGAAGGCAGGAGAGGGAAGCAGAAUUCCCGGUGUAGUGGUGAAAUGCGUAGAUAUCGGGAGGAAUACCAGUGGCGAAGGCGGCUUCCUGGCCUGUUCUUGACGCUGAGGCGCGAAAGCUGGGGGAGCAAA
Molecule: ribosomal RNA, 421 nt
Filed under: uncultured bacterium
Lineage: Bacteria
Description: bacterial SSU rRNA
Rfam family: Bacterial small subunit ribosomal RNA
Source: RNAcentral